This 149-nucleotide unclassified non-coding RNA is filed under the name uncultured Toxicocladosporium. Its description in RNAcentral is "sequence contains ITS2". The record is from RNAcentral. Lineage: Eukaryota; Fungi; Ascomycota; Dothideomycetes; Capnodiales.
CACCACUCAAGCCUCGCUUGGUAUUGGGCGACGCGGUCCGCCGCGCGCCUUAAAUCGACCGGCUCGGUCGAUCGCACCCUCAGCGUUGUGGAAACUAUUCGCUAAAGGAGUUGUGGUCGGUCACGCCGUGAAACAAACCAAUUUUCAAU